RNAcentral lists this ribosomal RNA (374 nucleotides) under Lacihabitans sp. CS3-21. Its description in RNAcentral is "bacterial SSU rRNA". It matches the Rfam family "Bacterial small subunit ribosomal RNA", at positions 1 to 387 of the family's 1533-position model. The record is from RNAcentral. Lineage: Bacteria; Pseudomonadati; Bacteroidota; Cytophagia; Cytophagales; Leadbetterellaceae.
UUACUAUGGAGAGUUUGAUCCUGGCUCAGGAUGAACGCUAGCGGCAGGCUUAAUACAUGCAAGUCGAGGGGGCAGCAAUGUCACCGGCGAACGGGUGCGUAACGCGUAUGCAACCUACCUACAUCAGGGGGAUAGCCCUAGGAAACUGGGAUUAACACCGCAUAAUACUAGACACGGCAUCGUGCUUAGUUGAAAUAUUUAUAGGAUGUAGAUGGGCAUGCGUAGGAUUAGCUAGUUGGUAAGGUAACGGCUUACCAAGGCUACGAUCCUUAGGGGCUCUGAGAGGAGUAUCCCCCACACUGGCACUGAGAUACGGGCCAGACUCCUACGGGAGGCAGCAGUAGGGAAUAUUGGGCAAUGGAGGCAACUCUGAC